RNAcentral lists this ribosomal RNA (497 nucleotides) under uncultured bacterium. Its description in RNAcentral is "partial 16S ribosomal RNA". It matches the Rfam family "Bacterial small subunit ribosomal RNA", at positions 28 to 507 of the family's 1533-position model. The record is from RNAcentral.
GAUGAACGCUGGCGGCGUGCCUAAUACAUGCAAGUCGAGCGAACGGACGAGAAGCUUGCUUCUCUGAUGUUAGCGGCGGACGGGUGAGUAACACGUGGAUAACCUACCUAUAAGACUGGGAUAACUUCGGGAGACCGGAGCUAAUACCGGAUGAUAUUUUGAACCGCAUGGUUCAAAAGUGAAAGACGGUCUUGCUGUCACUUAUAGAUGGAUCCGCGCUGCAUUAGCUAGUUGGUAAGGUAACGGCUUACCAAGGCAACGAUGCAUAGCCGACCUGAGAGGGUGAUCGGCCACACUGGAACUGAGACACGGUCCAGACUCCUACGGGAGGCAGCAGUAGGGAAUCUUCCGCAAAGGGCGAAAGCCUGACGGAGCAACGCCGCGUGAGUGAUGAAGGUCUUCGGAUCGUAAAACUCUGUUAUUAGGGAAGAACAUAUGUGUAAGUAACUGUGCACAUCUUGACGGUACCUAAUCAGAAAGCCACGGCUAACUACGUG